Molecule: long non-coding RNA, 708 nt
Filed under: Pongo abelii (Sumatran orangutan)
Lineage: Eukaryota; Metazoa; Chordata; Mammalia; Primates; Hominidae
Description: lincRNA
Source: RNAcentral
ACAGAUCCAGGCAGCUGGUGAAAACUCGUGAAUUCUCUGCAGCACAGAAGGGAGCAGGUUUGCAUUCAGGCCACUGAGAGGACGGAGGCUGCAUCACAGAGGAGGCCAUGGGAGGUCACAGGUACGGCCUCUCCUUCUGACUGUACAAUGAACUCUGCAAGCUGUGUGGUCAGAGUGCCAGGGACAGUCAGGAACUGCUGUCACCGUUCCAGGUGGAGCUGACAGACUGUCUCCGAAGCGCCCACCUGCGCGUGCGCUCCCUCUUCCCGGCACAGGCUAGAGAUGCGCAGAAUCCUAACCACGGCCACCGUUUCCUGCCUCCACGAGCCAUGCUCUAAAGGAAACAAAUGCAUCGCCCCAGAAUUCUUUGAAAGUUACAAUCAUCUGCUUAACUCUUUUAAUUUCCUUUUCCUUCAACUUAAACUUUAAUUUCAGGUAUCUUCUAUACAACACAGAAGUCACGUUCUGGAUAGAAUUAAAAGGAAAUUAACUUGGGGUUUAGGGUGGAUUUUUUUGCCUUAUUUUGCUUCUUAGUAACUGAAAGUGAAGCCUGAAUAAUGAGAAUAUUAUUAAUCCAUCUCCAUUUUUCUACUUUAAAGUCACAACGUAGAUUUUGGUUCCAGUUGUUAUUACUUUAAAGAGAGUAAUGAAUAUUCCAUGUGAGGGCAGCGUGUAUGAAAGUGUGCUGGGAAAGUUCUAUGGAUCUUU